GCAAGUCGAACGAGAACGGGUCUUAGCUUGCUAAGAUUGUCAGCUAAGUUGCGCACGGGUGAGUAAUAUAUAGUUAACCUGCCCUAGAGAAGGGGAUAACGUUUGGAAACGGACGCUAAUACCCUAUAUGCCUUUAAGACAAAAGUCUGCAAGGGAAAUAUUUAUGGCUCUAGGAGGGGACUGUGCGGUAUCAGUUAGUUGGUGAGGUAAGGGCUCACCAAGACAAUGACACCUAGCUGGUUUGAGAGGAUGAGC
RNAcentral lists this ribosomal RNA (255 nucleotides) under uncultured bacterium. Its description in RNAcentral is "partial 16S ribosomal RNA". It matches the Rfam family "Bacterial small subunit ribosomal RNA", at positions 57 to 305 of the family's 1533-position model. The record is from RNAcentral.